AGUGAACGCUGGCGGUAGGCCUAACACAUGCAAGUCGAACGGCAGCACAGUAAGAGCUUGCGCUUACGGGUGGCGAGUGGCGGGCGGGAGAGGAAUACAUCGGAAUCUACUUUUUCGUGGGGGUUAACGUAGGGAAGGCUACGCCCAUACCGCAUCCGACCUACCGUUGAAAGCAGGGGAACUUCGCACCUUGCGCGGUUGGAUGCGCCGAUGUUGAACGAGCUAGUUGGCGGGGUAAAGGCCCACCCAGUGGGCGAUUCGUAGCCGGACUGAGAGGAUGAUAAGCCACACUGGAACGGAGACGCGGUCCUGGGUCCUACGGGAGGCAGCAGUGGGGAAUAGUGGACAAUGGGCGCGAGCCUGAUCCAGCCAUACCGCGUGGGUGGAGAAGGCGUUGGGGUUGUAAAGCCGUUUUGUGGGGAAAGAAAAGCAGCAGGUUAAUACGCCGCGGUUCUGACGGUACUGAAAGAAGAAGCACCGGCUAACUUCGUG
Molecule: ribosomal RNA, 492 nt
Filed under: uncultured bacterium
Lineage: Bacteria
Description: partial 16S ribosomal RNA
Rfam family: Bacterial small subunit ribosomal RNA
Source: RNAcentral